AUGCCUGGCGAGCGAAGGGGCAUUCCAGCAGCAGGUGCUGGAUCGUUUCCGGCUCUUGAUCGCAUAGGAGGCAGCGGGGGUGAUGUUGCAGUACAUGUCGAGCCAGUCUCUCAGCGGUCCAGCACCGGUCUUGGUUGGCCAGCCAGUGCCCAACACUUCCAGAUAAGCUUCCAGCUUCCAGGUGCAGCAAGUCGUCGAUCCAUGGAAUGUGGCCAAGUAGCAGGAUUGUGCAGAGUAGGUGCUGCUAGCCGUCCAUUUCCAGAUCAGCUGGUCCGGGGCAGCAGAGAGCACGGUGUGCUGCAAGACCUGCCAGAGCUGCAGGUACUGACCAAUCUCAUGCAAGCCUAG
This 348-nucleotide ribosomal RNA is filed under the name Triticum aestivum (bread wheat). RNAcentral's name for it is "partial small subunit ribosomal RNA". Lineage: Eukaryota; Viridiplantae; Streptophyta; Magnoliopsida; Poales; Poaceae. The record is from RNAcentral.